RNAcentral lists this small RNA (229 nucleotides) under Pan troglodytes (chimpanzee). Its description in RNAcentral is "processed transcript". The record is from RNAcentral. Lineage: Eukaryota; Metazoa; Chordata; Mammalia; Primates; Hominidae.
CGGCCGCAGCGGCGGAUCUGGCGGCUGCUGCAGCCCGGGCGGCUGCGGAGAAGGAGGGAGGGGAAACACAAAGCCGGCUACGCGCUGCGAGAGUUGUCUCCCAGAGCUCCGUGGAAUUUCCUUUCUCUGCUUUAAUGUGCUUUUAAAAGAUAACAAGAGUAAUCCACAGACUUAAAACAUGAGCUCAGAUGCCAGCCAAGGCGUGAUUACCACUCCUCCUCCUCCCAGC